GUCAUCGGUACGAGCUUGCCUUUCGAAGGUCUGACCUC
RNAcentral lists this ribosomal RNA (38 nucleotides) under Gyroporus lacteus. RNAcentral describes it as "partial 28S ribosomal RNA". The record is from RNAcentral. Lineage: Eukaryota; Fungi; Basidiomycota; Agaricomycetes; Boletales; Gyroporaceae.